This 264-nucleotide ribosomal RNA is filed under the name uncultured bacterium. RNAcentral's name for it is "partial 16S ribosomal RNA". It matches the Rfam family "Bacterial small subunit ribosomal RNA", at positions 793 to 1055 of the family's 1533-position model. The record is from RNAcentral.
GUCCACGCCCUAAACGAUGUCAACUGGUUGUUGGGGGUUUGACACUCUCAGUAACGAAGCUAACGCGUGAAGUUGACCGCCUGGGGAGUACGGCCGCAAGGUUAAAACUCAAAGGAAUUGACGGGGACCCGCACAAGCGGUGGAUUAUGUGGAUUAAUUCGAUGCAACGCGAAAACCUUACCUACCCUUGACAUGUCCUGGAGGCCCCUGAGAGGGGGCUGUGCCCGAAAGGGAACGGGAACACAGGUGCUGCAUGGCUGUCGU